Molecule: small RNA, 18 nt
Filed under: Arabidopsis thaliana (thale cress)
Lineage: Eukaryota; Viridiplantae; Streptophyta; Magnoliopsida; Brassicales; Brassicaceae
Description: ATSL062550
Source: RNAcentral
UUUUUUUUUGGUUUUAUU